CAGGUCGCCUCUGCGGCCUCCGGAGGCGGCGGCGACGGCGGGGGGCCACCGGCGGAGAAUGGGGAUGAGAAGCCGCGCGGGGUUCCCUCCUUGCCGGCGCUGUCGGAGAUCCGUUGGGGGAGCUGCUCGCGCCGGGCCCCGAUAACGCCGCGGCCGUGGCGCUGACGGGCGCGCUGGUCUGGGCCGGCGCGUCGCUGCUGCUGCAGCUGGUGCUCAUCUCCGCCUCCAUCUUCGCAGCCGCCGUCAAGUACUCCUUCGUCGCCGCGCUCCUGCUCUUCGUACUCAUCACGCUCCUAUAACCUUCAGCUUGGACUAGCCUUGAAGUUAGAGUGGUGGCACUAAAAGUUUUUGACUUUGUGCUCCUCUCAGAUCAAACUACUGAUGCAAUGAAUUGGUCUGCCUUUUAUAUAGCAAUCCAAGUAUCCAACUUCAAAGGUUGAGUAUGACCUCUGGCUAGUGUUGGUUUCAUUGCUGCAGGCCACUUAAAAGCACUUUGCAGGUCAUUUGUACAUCUUUAGUCUUCUCUUGUAGAUUCUCAUAAAUAUUGUAAAGUAUCAUGCUUCUUGCUUAUUUGCUCUGCAGUUAAUUUAACUUAUCUGGUCAGAUUCUGAUAUAAGGACUUCUGCAUUGUUUUGCCCACUAAUAAUGGGUCAUCUUAAGCAUAUAAAGUUAUAUGUCAGCAGGUUU
This is a long non-coding RNA of Brachypodium distachyon (stiff brome), 687 nucleotides long. RefSeq lists it as uncharacterized. The record is from RefSeq and is a predicted model, not a curated record. Lineage: Eukaryota; Viridiplantae; Streptophyta; Magnoliopsida; Poales; Poaceae. The transcript is spliced from 2 exons.